CCCGCCUCUCAGCGGCCGGGCCGGAGGAAGGAGGCGGUGGCUGGGGGCGGGCUCGUCCAACGCGGCUGACGCUGACCCCGAGUCCCCGCGCAGCGGAGAGCUGGAGGCAAUACUUGGGGGCAACCCCACCUCCACCAUGGACACUUCAGAGCCCAGUUCAACAAGGCAGGAGGAGGAGGAGGAAAGUGGGAGUGAGGGUGCUGAGGAGGAGGGAGACACCCCGGCAUCCCUAGAUGCAUGCAGCCAGGAGCUGUUCUCAAGCCAGAAGGAAGGGUGAAAUGCUGGUCAAGAUCUUGGUGUGCAGUAUCGGUCAUGAUGAAGAGCCGGCUACCUCUUGUUCUCCUUGCGUGCGGCUCCUUUAACCCCAUCACAAACAUGCACAUGCGUUUAUUUGAGCUGGCUAGAGAUCACCUUCAUCAAACAGGAAGGUACCAGGUGAUUGAAGGUAUCAUUUCUCCAGUCAGUGAUAACUAUGGAAAGAGAGGCUUGGUUUCAGCAAGGCACCGGAUAGCAAUGGCUCAACUUGCACUGGAGACAUCGGACUGGAUUAGAGUGGAUCCAUGGGAGAGUGAACAGGAGAAAUGGACUGAGACUGUAAAGGUGCUGAGGCACCAUUAUAAUGAGUCGCUCAGAUCGCUCCAGUUCAGGAAGGAACUCAUGAGAAACAAUUGGCCUAUAGAAAGAGCUACUGAGGAUUUCCUUUCUUCAUUGGACCCAGUUUCCCCAGAGUUAAAGCUGCUUUGCGGAGCUGACAUUCUGAAGACGUUUAGUACACCUAAUCUCUGGAAGGAGGAGCAUAUUAAAGAAAUAGUAGAAAAGUUUGGUUUGGUGUGUAUUAGCCGUGCUGGCUCUGACCCUGUUCAGUACAUCAGUGAAUCAGAACUUCUGACUCGAUUCCAGCACAAUAUCCACCUGGUCACAGAAUGGAUUCAGAAUGAAAUCAGUGCCACGCAUAUACGACAUGCUUUAUGCAAAGGACUAAGUGUGAAGUACCUCAUUCCAGAUUCUGUCAUUUCCUAUAUUAAGCACUAUAAUAUCUACACAGAAGAGAGUGAGAGGGAAAAAUAAAGGGGAUUUAACUUCAGCCUCUUAAACUACACAACACAAUGAUAAACACACUAAAUGAUUGACGUCUUUAUUCCACCAAAUGGGGAGAACACAAUGGCAUUUAUUUUUGGAAAAUCCCUGCAAAGGCACAAUCUUUGUGUAUGGAGGAAAGUGAAGUAGGUUGUGGGGAGAUGCAACUAGCUAUACUUCUGAACAUUUGUAGAGUAAUUCAGAAAAGUUUUUGUAUUAUAUUACUACUGAGGUCAUGCUUUCCUAAGCUGUUAUGUGCAAAGGGCUAUCAGUUUUAAGAUCUCCACUAAGAGUUAAUUUACAUUACAUUUCUUCUAUUUUUAACACAAAUAUUAAAAUCUUUAGUAAUUGUUGAGGGAUUCUUGUGAUGACUUAAAUGACCUCAAGGGCUGUAGUUAGUGCUUUCCCGUAUUAUAAUCUUCUAAUACCAGGAACUGUUUCAGUGGUCUUGGCCAUUCGCAGAUAGUGAGAGUAAAAUUAUUGUCAUUUUCCUUCUCAGGAAUAGUUUCAAUAAACUGCUAAAAUGUACAUAGUUAUUACCACAUUUCUACUUUAUAGGAUCCUGAAAAAAAUUAUUUCACUGUAUUACUUAAUACCGUUCAGUUUUGUGCGUAUAUAUGUUGGCAGAUCAGAAAUAAAACCCUGAUUCAGGAAAGCACUUAGGCAUGUGCUUAAAUCCCAUUAUUUUCAAUCCAGCUCAUAAUGAGACCUUUAAAGGGGGUUCUUUGCUUUGCUCUUAGUCCUAUAUGCUAGUCCAGUCCCCUGGAGUAGUUUAGAGCAACUAGCUGUCAAAACCCUGAAGCUGUUGAUAUGGCAGCCCAGCUAUAAGGGAGCCCCAGCCAUGCCCCCUAUGUCAACAUCAAGAAGAGUGAGCAGCACUGGAGAUUCUACACUCUCUUUCCUUGCAUUCAGACAGCAGACGUGAAGAUGGAGAAACUGCAAGGCAAACUGCACGUAGGACACUGAGCGGGAGCUGAGCAGAGUGAUAAUCCACUUCCAGUCACAAGGCUAAUGGGAAGUGUCUGAACAUGGUUUGCAUUCCCUUAACUAACAGCACACUCUGAUUAAUAAAGACAUGCAGCACUGAUGAAGACAUAAGAUAACUGGAAUUGGCCAUUACUCCCUAAUAAUAACCUCUGCUGAAUAAUGACUGGCUUUUCCUGAGCCAUCAAUUCACCAACCAGUCAAUAUCUGCUGGCAUCACCCCUCGCUUGAAGAUGACUGUAUAAUCAUGGCUUAUUACUAAACUCUGAAACAGAACACACAAUUACUUUCACUGGUAGAGCUUGUGUGAUCCUCUUCUGAGGGGAAGAGAUUAAAAAAACCACUGAAAAUAUUCUCAAAUACUCCAAACAAACAGGAUUUCAAUUGUCUGCAGAAGCCACCCAAUGUGUCCACUACAGCCAGCCACUUAUUGUAAUAUCCAUCCAUAUGCCUAAACCAGCCAUCUUAUUUUCUAAGCAGCAUAGAAGGGGAGGAGUAAUGUGGAUAAAAUGGACACCCGGAUAAUCAGUGGCCUUACAGCCAUUGUAUUGAAGGUGAAUGUUCCAUUCCAUUUAAAUGAAGCCAUCCUGCUGUCAUUAUAAAUCUAAAAGGUUCAGCUUUGUGGAAGGAUUUAAUGGUAACCCUUCAGCGGUAAUCGGAUUAGAGGGGCUCAUAUAACUGCAUGGUCUGAAGAACAGAUAAAAGAAACCAGAGUUGAAACUCGCCACAGAGGACAGGCAUUGAGCUGUGUGGUGCAGAAUCAACUCGCUGUUCUGAGGCUUUGGCUAUCAUAUACCCCAGAAAUGCCUGCAAAUUUCAAUGGUUACUGGAAAAUGCUUAGCAAUGACAAUUUUGAGGAGUAUCUGAA
This is a non-coding RNA of Caretta caretta (loggerhead turtle), 2929 nucleotides long. Lineage: Eukaryota; Metazoa; Chordata; Testudines; Cheloniidae. The record is from RefSeq and is a predicted model, not a curated record.